Molecule: ribosomal RNA, 492 nt
Filed under: uncultured bacterium
Lineage: Bacteria
Description: partial 16S ribosomal RNA
Rfam family: Bacterial small subunit ribosomal RNA
Source: RNAcentral
AGUGAACGCUGGCGGUAGGCCUAACACAUGCAAGUCGAACGGCAGCACAGUAAGAGCUUGCUCUUACGGGUGGCGAGUGGCGGACGGGUGAGGAAUACAUCGGAAUCUACUUUUUCGUGGGGGAUAACGUAGGGAAACUUACGCUAAUACCGCAUACGACCUACGGGUGAAAGCAGGGGAUCUUCAGACCUUGCGCGAUUGAAUGAGCCGAUGUCGGAUUAGCUAGUUGGCGGGGUAAAGGCCCACCAAGGCGACGAUCCGUAGCUGGUCUGAGAGGAUGAUCAGCCACACUGGAACUGAGACACGGUCCAGACUCCUACGGGAGGCAGCAGUGGGGAAUAUUGGACAAUGGGCGCAAGCCUGAUCCAGCCAUACCGCGUGGGUGAAGAAGGCCUUCGGGUUGUAAAGCCCUUUUGUUGGGAAGGAAAAGCAGCAGGUUAAUACCCCGCUGUUCUGACGGUACCCAAAGAAUAAGCACCGGCUAACUUCGUG